UGACCUAUCAGCUUUCGACGGUAGUGUAUUGGACUACCGUGGCAGUGACGGGUAACGGGGAAUUAGGGUUCGAUUCCGGAGAGGGAGCCUGAGAAACGGCUACCACAUCUAAGGAAGGCAGCAGGCGCGCAAAUUACCCAAUCCUGACUCAGGGAGGUAGUGACAAGAAAUAACAACACUGGAAAUUUUAUUUCUAGUGAUUGGAAUGAUGGGAAUCUAAACCCCUUUCAGAGUAACAAUUGGAGGGCAAGUCUGGUGCCAGCAGCCGCGGUAAUUCCAGCUCCAAUAGCGUAUAUUAAAGUUGUUGCAGUUAAAAAGCUCGUAGUUGGAUAUCUGCUGGAAGCAAUCAGUCCGCCCUAUU
Molecule: ribosomal RNA, 361 nt
Filed under: Sarcocystis bovifelis
Lineage: Eukaryota; Apicomplexa; Conoidasida; Eucoccidiorida; Sarcocystidae
Description: SSU rRNA
Rfam family: Eukaryotic small subunit ribosomal RNA
Source: RNAcentral